RNAcentral lists this ribosomal RNA (230 nucleotides) under uncultured bacterium. Its description in RNAcentral is "partial 16S ribosomal RNA". It matches the Rfam family "Bacterial small subunit ribosomal RNA", at positions 562 to 791 of the family's 1533-position model. The record is from RNAcentral.
AAAGCGUGCGCAGGCGGUUUUGUAAGACUGUCGUGAAAUCCCCGGGCUCAACCUGGGAAUGGCGAUGGUGACUGCAAGGCUAGAGUUUGGCAGAGGGGGGUAGAAUUCCACGUGUAGCAGUGAAAUGCGUAGAUAUGUGGAGGAACACCGAUGGCGAAGGCAGCCCCUUGGGUCAAAACUGACGCUCAUGCACGAAAGCGUGGGGAGCAAACAGGAUUAGAUACCCGUGU